AACAUAAAUUAUUUUAGAUUGGGAUCAAAUGUAAAAUGUGGCAUUUUAAAGUUAAUUUGUAGAAGCAAGGAAUUACUUUUACCACCCGGAUAUUCAAUGAUUCAGGAUAUUGUCAGAAUUAUUAUAUUUGGAAUGACAAAAGACGUUACUUCAGAUGGUGGACAAAAAUCAAACUUUUGUGAGAGUAAAAUAAAUCCUGAUUGUGAUAUCGAAAACAAGCUUGAAAAUUCAUUUAAUUUUAUAGAUUGGUUGAUAAAUCCAAAGAAAAUUUUACAAAACUCAUAAAUGAAAAACUUGUGUAGUGAUAUUAAAAAAAAUAUUUAAAAUUAAAUGCAGAAAUAAGGAUGCGUUUACAUCACUCAACGAGUUGAAUCUGUACGGAUUGAAAAUGGCUGUUCUUUUUUCCGUUUGGCAUCCAAAAACCAUUAUGUAUUGCCCGUGGACAACGCCAAUUAAUUUUUGAAGGUGCCAAAUCAUUUUGUUAGGCUUCUAACAGUGCAGUCAUUGUGGCCUCGAAAAAAUGUUCUCUAAACAUCCCUAAACCACAGGAAAUUUAUGACCCUUAACGGUCCAAAGCAAAAAUUUGUGUCGAUAAGCAAGCUAAACAAGAAAGCAUUCUUCCAUUGUUUCAAAAUAAGCAAAAAGCUUUGACACCUCCGAACAAAUUUUGGGAACCAUUUCCGUAGACAAAAAUGGGCAGACGUUCCAUUUUCUUAGUAAUAUUUUUAAAAACACUUCCAUUCAAUCUGGACUUCAUUCUGGAUUGUCGGAUUGAACUCCGUGAAAUCGAUAAUGAAUAAGAAUAAUUGCGACCAAGUGUGGCAGUAAAAUCAAGUCACCAGUGAGACAAGACGACAGCAUGAUAAUCGGGAUAAGUAAGACAAAGCGGCGAGUUAAUCACGUAACUAAAUUGCAUGACCUAAGCUCUGCUAAGCCGAUUAUACCUAGGCAACCACCAGCAGCUAAGAUGUCAGAGAUAAGAGUCAAGCGAUAAAAGACGGAAGAAAGUUGGUUUACGUUGAAUCCGCCAGCAGUUCCGGUACAGCAACAACCAGCUUACGUACUAGUUUGGAACCCGCCUUUCACCCUGCCAUUAUUAGGAUUCUUUCUCUUUGAACAGCUCUUUACCACCAGUCGGACCCAUGCAGGAACCAACCAUCAAAUCACCAGCUAUUUUGUUGCCACCCCACACAAUUGUGUGAACAUCCGCAUUCACGGGACACAAAUGUGUCACAAUUUUUAUGAAAGUAACAGAUAAAAGAAAUGAAAACUACAAGGAUAUUUCAUUUCUUGGACUUUCACUUAGAUUUCUUUCCGAUUAACCUUGGUUAAAAGGUUUCAUCGAAAUACAAACCAUACAAACAGACGAUAUAACAAGAAAAGGUCAAGAGCAAUAUGGAAACAUUUUUGCUGAUCAAUUUAUCGUGAAAUGCCUACGGCCUCAUAACCAAUCUUUUCUGAAUUAUGUUAGACCAUGUCUUAUACAUAUGCAAUUUUUGCUGCAUUCUAGUUACCAAUUCCAUGUAA
Long non-coding RNA from Episyrphus balteatus (marmalade hoverfly), 1527 nucleotides. RefSeq lists it as uncharacterized. The record is from RefSeq and is a predicted model, not a curated record. The transcript has 3 exons. NCBI's taxonomy places the organism in Eukaryota, Metazoa, Arthropoda, Insecta, Diptera, Syrphidae.